AGAGUUUGAUCAUGGCUCAGAUUGAACGCUGGCGGCAUGCUUUACACAUGCAAGUCGAGCGGCAGCGCGGGGGCAACCCUGGCGGCGAGCGGCGAACGGGUGAGGAAUACAUCGGAACGUACCCCGGAGUGGGGGAUAACCCAGCGAAAGUUGGGCUAAUACCGCAUAUGCUCUGAGGAGGAAAGUGGGGGACCGCAAGGCCUCACGCUCUGGGAGCGGCCGAUGUCCGAUUAGCUUGUUGGUGGGGUAAUGGCCUACCAAGGCGACGAUCGGUAGCUGGUCUGAGAGGAUGAUCAGCCACACUGGGACUGAGACACGGCCCAGACUCCUACGGGAGGCAGCAGUGGGGAAUUUUGGACAAUGGGGGCAACCCUGAUCCAGCCAUGCCGCGUGCGGGAAGAAGGCCUUCGGGUUGUAAACCGCUUUUGGUCGGGAAGAAAAGGCGCCACCUAAUACGGGGCGUUCUUGACGGUACCGGCAGAAUAAGCACCGGCUAACUACGUGCCAGCAGCCGCGGUAAUACGUAGGGUGCGAGCGUUAAUCGGAAUUACUGGGCGUAAAGCGUGCGCAGGCGGUUUGUUAAGUCUGAUGUGAAAGCCCCGGGCUCAACCUGGGAAUGGCAUUGGAAACUGGCAGGCUCGAGUAUGGCAGAGGGGGGUGGAAUUCCGCGUAGCAGUGAAAUGCGUAGAGAUGCGGAGGAACACCGAUGGCGAAGGCAGCCCCCUGGGCCAAUACUGACGCUCAGGCACGAAAGCGUGGGGAGCAAACAGGAUUAGAUACCCUAGUAGUCC
RNAcentral lists this ribosomal RNA (791 nucleotides) under uncultured bacterium. Its description in RNAcentral is "bacterial SSU rRNA". It matches the Rfam family "Bacterial small subunit ribosomal RNA", at positions 8 to 796 of the family's 1533-position model. The record is from RNAcentral.